CCUACGGGUGGCAGCAGUGGGGAAUUUUGGACAAUGGGCGCAAGCCUGAUCCAGCUAUUCCGCGUGUAGGAAGAAGGCUUUCGGGUUGUAAACUUCUUUUCUCAGGGACGAAGCAAGUGACGGUACCUGAGGAAUAAGCCACGGCUAACUACGUGCCAGCAGCCGCGGUAAUACGUAGGUGGCAAGCGUUAUCCGGAUUUACUGGGUGUAAAGGGCGUGUAGGCGGGACUGCAAGUCAGAUGUGAAAACCAUGGGCUCAACCUAUGGCCUGCAUUUGAAACUGUAGUUCUUGAGUACUGGAGAGGCAGACGGAAUUCCUAGUGUAGCGGUGAAAUGCGUAGAUAUUAGGAGGAACACCAGUGGCGAAGGCGGUCUGCUGGACAGCAACUGACGCUGAGGCGCGAAAGCGUGGGGAGCAAACAGGAUUAGAUACCCCUGUAGUC
This 443-nucleotide ribosomal RNA is filed under the name uncultured bacterium. RNAcentral's name for it is "partial 16S ribosomal RNA". It matches the Rfam family "Bacterial small subunit ribosomal RNA", at positions 338 to 795 of the family's 1533-position model. The record is from RNAcentral.